CAUGCAAGCCGAGCGGUAGAUUGCUUUCGGGCAAUUGAGAGCGGCGUACGGGUGCGGAACACGUGUGCAACCUGCCUUUAUCAGGGGGAUAGCCUUUCGAAAGGAAGAUUAAUACCCCAUAAUAUAUCGAGUGGCAUCAUUUGAUAUUGAAAACUCCGGUGGAUAGAGAUGGGCACGCGCAAGAUUAGAUAGUUGGUGAGGUAACGGCUCACCAAGUCUACGAUCUUUAGGGGGCCUGAGAGGGUGAUCCCCCACACUGGUACUGAGACACGGACCAGAAUCCUACGGGAGGCAGCAGUGAGGAAUAUUGGACAAUGGGUGAGAGCCUGAUCCAGCCAUCCCGCGUGAAGGACGACGGCCCUAUGGGUUGUAAACUUCUUUUGUAUAGGGAUAAACCUACCCUCGUGAGGGUAGCUGAAGGUACUAUACGAAUAAGCACCGGCUAACUCCGUGCCAGCAGCCGCGGUAAUACGGAGGGUGCAAGCGUUAUCCGGAUUUAUUGGGUUUAAAGGGUCCGUAGGCUGAUCUGUAAGUCAGUGGUGAAAUCUCACAGCUUAACUGUGAAACUGCCAUUGAUACUGCAGUUCUUGAGUGUUGUUGAAGUAGCUGGAAUAAGUAGUGUAGCGGUGAAAUGCAUAGAUAUUACUUAGAACACCAAUUGCGAAGGCAGGUUACUAAGCAACAACUGACGCUGAUGGACGAAAGCGUGGGGAGCGAACAGGAUUAGAUACCCUGGUAGUCCACGCCGUAAACGAUGCUAACUCGUUUUUGGGGCGCAAGCUUCAGAGACUAAGCGAAAGUGAUAAGUUAGCCACCUGGGGAGUACGAACGCAAGUUUGAAACUCAAAGGAAUUGACGGGGGCCCGCACAAGCGGUGGAUUAUGUGGUUUAAUUCGAUGAUACGCGAGGAACCUUACCAAGGCUUAAAUGGGAGAUGACAGGUUUAGAAAUAGACUUUUCUUCGGACAUUUUUCAAGGUGCUGCAUGGUUGUCGUCAGCUCGUGCCGUGAGGUGUUAGGUUAAGUCCUGCAACGAGCGCAACCCCUGUCACUAGUUGCCAUCAUUAAGUUGGGGACUCUAGUGAGACUGCCUACGCAAGUAGAGAGAAAGGUGGGGAUGACGUCAAAUCAUCACGGCCCUUACGCCUUGGGCCACCCACGUAAUACAAUGGCCGGUACAGAGGGCAGCUACACUGCGAAGUGAUGCAAAUCUCGAAAGCCGGUCUCAGUUCGGAUUGGAGUCUGCAACUCGACUCUAUGAAGCUGGAAUCGCUAGUAAUCGCGCAUCAGCCAUGGCGCGGUGAAUACGUUCC
RNAcentral lists this ribosomal RNA (1312 nucleotides) under Chryseobacterium indologenes. RNAcentral describes it as "bacterial SSU rRNA". It matches the Rfam family "Bacterial small subunit ribosomal RNA", at positions 54 to 1374 of the family's 1533-position model. The record is from RNAcentral. Lineage: Bacteria; Pseudomonadati; Bacteroidota; Flavobacteriia; Flavobacteriales; Weeksellaceae.